This 468-nucleotide ribosomal RNA is filed under the name uncultured bacterium. RNAcentral describes it as "partial 16S ribosomal RNA". It matches the Rfam family "Bacterial small subunit ribosomal RNA", at positions 28 to 507 of the family's 1533-position model. The record is from RNAcentral.
GACGUACGCUGGCGGCGUGCUUAACUCAUGCAAGUCGAACGGAAAGGCCCUGCUUUUGUGGGGUGCUCGAGUGGCGAACGGGUGAGUAACACGUGAGUAACCUGCCCUUGACUUUGGGAUAACUUCAGGAAACUGGGGCUAAUACCGGAUAGGGGCUCCUGCUGCAUGGUGGGGGUUGGAAAGUUUCGGCGGUUGGGGAUGGACUCGCGGCUUAUCAGCUUGUUGGUGGGGUAGUGGCUUACCAAGGCUUUGACGGGUAGCCGGCCUGAGAGGGUGACCGGCCACAUUGGGACUGAGAUACGGCCCAGACUCCUACGGGAGGCAGCAGUGGGGAAUAUUGCACAAUGGGCGGAAGCCUGAUGCAGCAACGCCGCGUGCGGGAUGACGGCCUUCGGGUUGUAAACCGCUUUCGCCUGUGACGAAGCGUGAGUGACGGUAAUGGGUAAAGAAGCACCGGCUAACUACGUG